UCACUACACCGUAGACUCGAGACUCAUCUAUUCGAAGGAAGCGAUCCAUGCACUAGUUUAUCUGGAUCAAUCACUAUCCCCAUGAUGAUCCUACGAUCAGGAGCAAUUUAGGAAUUAGCCAUCAAUGACAUAUGUCUCAAAUUUUUAACUCUUUAAGAAUAUAUGUCAUCAUCUUGUUAAUCUCUUGGAUGAUUCAUGGAUACAUAAAACAUAAAUAGUAAUAUAAGUUUCCAUUAAGUACAAAACUAUAUCCUAGUAAUAUAAUAUGUAUCAGCCA
Molecule: long non-coding RNA, 277 nt
Filed under: Elaeis guineensis (African oil palm)
Lineage: Eukaryota; Viridiplantae; Streptophyta; Magnoliopsida; Arecales; Arecaceae
Description: long non-coding RNA (EGUI_LNC027958)
Source: RNAcentral